UAGGUAGGAUCAUCCAAUUCUAAAUCCAAAGGAGAGAGGUUUUUAUCCCGAGAAAUGGACGAAGAGACAGAUAACUGAAUAGAGGGAGAAGGAGAUGAAUUGAUGGAUUUUGACGACGAAGAAAUACUAAGAUAUGAAGGUUGUUUUGAUAUCGCUGGUAUGUUCUCGCCCAACUCUUCUAAUCUACUGAACGUGGCAGAAGAAUUGGUAGACUUAUGAUCAGAUACUACAUCUUGGGCUAGGAACCUGUAAUAGAUCUCGCUGUUAACGAAUUCAGAAUAAUCACUGUUCUGCAUGAUAUCGAACACAUGCUCUUGAGCCAUAAGCAUUGCAUUCCUAGCCUCUACCCAUAGAUCAGGGUUUAAGUUAUCUUUACUUUGGUUAACGAAUUUAUUAAUUGUAUUAGUGAGAGGCUUUGGGAUGUCCAGUGGGUUAUCGACGCUUUCAAAGUAUGAUUUGACAAUGGCUGUAAAGUCUGUAUGGUCAGAAACGAUAUCGGAAAACGGCGCAAUCAUAUGCGCAUUCAAUGGAUCAUCCUGUGAUUCUUUUAGGCCUUCAACUACAAGCCAAAAAUGCAAAUAGCGAGAUCUGUUCUUUCUCUCCAUAAAUUCGAGAAAACAGGAAACCGCCGCCGAGUCAGAUAGGAUUUGAAGUAGUGAUUGCACUUGUUCAAAUAGCACCGCUUCUUUAUGCUGAAAUGGAGUUCCAGAAAGUAAGGAAAUCCUUUUCUCAGCAGUAAUUAUAGCUAUCUGUAAUCGCUCCCUAUAUUGUUUAAAUUCAAAAUCAAAUGCUUCGGUCUGUUCAAGUUGACGCCUUUGGACCAUUAGUUCAGAACGUAAUCUUCGGGCAUCUGAAAUAUUAGAGAUUUUUUUAAUUUCAUGAAUAUAUUGUUCAAAAGAGUGUUGACUAUCUUUUAAUCGGAGACGACGUGCUCCAACCUGAAAGUGAUUAGAUUGCUUGCGAAUGGCACGUUUCAGACGACGAAUCUUUCGCCGACGCUGAAUUAUACUACCGCUAGCCUGAAUAAUUAAAUAGUUGAAAAAAUCAGGAUCUGAAAUAUAAGAUACUAGCGGUAAUAAUGUAGUAUUAAUAAUAACCUCUGUAACGAGCGAAAGUACAAGAGGGCUGGUUUCAUAAUAAUUCGGUAGAAUAAUAGACAAAACUUGUGUCGUCCAAUUUCGUAA
Schizosaccharomyces pombe (fission yeast) is the source of this 1184-nucleotide non-coding RNA. NCBI's taxonomy places the organism in Eukaryota, Fungi, Ascomycota, Schizosaccharomycetes, Schizosaccharomycetales, Schizosaccharomycetaceae. The record is from the annotation of a GenBank genome assembly.